Bos taurus (domestic cattle) is the source of this 1530-nucleotide long non-coding RNA. NCBI's taxonomy places the organism in Eukaryota, Metazoa, Chordata, Mammalia, Artiodactyla, Bovidae. The record is from Ensembl.
CGGGCAUAUUUCUUAGUUGAUACGUAACAGGAUCACAGUGCAGAUGCAGUGCAGACACUAGGGCUACGAGAAGGCAGCACUGUGCCUGCUUUCAAGCCUCUAAGUCCACAGUCAGGAGAUGUCCUGAACUCCAUCAGGACGACCCAGCACAGUGGAUGCUCCAACGGCCCAAGAUCACAGCCUGCAGAGGGACCAACCCCAGUCAGGCUGGACUGCCUGGUCUCUUUGUUGGAUGAUCUACACUGUUCCCCAUCCACCCUGUGUGUCCACCAUGGGUUAUUGGUGCUGUGUGUCCAUCGUGGGUCAGUGGUGCUGUGUGUCCAUCGUGGGUUAUUGGGCUGUGUGUCCAUCCUGGGUUAGUGCUGCUGUGUGUCCAUCCUGGAUCAGCAGUGCUGUGUGUCCAUCCUGGGUCAGCAGUGCUGUGUGUCCAUCGUGGGUCAGUGGUGCUGUGUGUCCAUCGUGGGUCAGUGGUGCUGUGUGUCCAGUGUGGGUCAGCAGUGCUGUGUGUCCAGUGUGGGUCAGCAGUGGUGUGUGUCCACUGUGGGUCAGCGGUGCUGUGUGUCCACCAUGGGUCAGCAGGCAUCUCUGCUCAGGGCCUAAGGCUGAUUGACUGUCUGACACCUCAGCAUGAGGCUUCCACAUCUGAGAGAUAGAGCUGGAAGGUCUGAAGUUCUUUGCAUAUGAAGUGACAAAUAUCACUCCUUGCAGUCCAUUAUUGGCCACUAGAAGUCAAGUUUCUGGCCCCAGUUGAUGGCAGGAGGCUAGGAAACGAGGAGGAGCACAUGGGCAUUUUGGGAGCAAUAAAUGUUUCCCCAAAGCCCAGAUCUAAAGGAAGGUGUGGCAAGUCCCACUCUGGGGAGGGAGAAGUAGUAAUUUAGAGCAAAUCUUCAGGGAUUUGGAGAAACACAGUUCAGAAAACUACAAUUCGUGUAACCCUGUUCACAAGCAUGUGCUUCCGUGUGUUCAUUUGAGAUGUAGUGUUAGUCACUCAGUCGUGUCCCACUCUUUCCAACUCCAUGGACUGUAGCCCGCAGGCUCUUCUGUCCAUGGAAUUCUCCAGGCAGGCAUACUGGAGUGGGUAGCCAUUCCCUCCUCUAGGGGGUCUUCCUGACCCAAGGAUUGAAUCUGGGUCUCCCUCCAGGUGGAUUCUUUACUAUCUGAGCCACCAAGCAUGUAAGAUGUAAGAUAACUCCAGUUGUGAUGUGUCCGUAACUGAUAAAGAGAGUUUCUGCGAACCAUUUUCCAGAGCAGUGGGUUCUGUGGAUUUUAAAUUUUUGAAGAUGAUGCCAGGAUUUUGCAUAAUAUUGCUAGGAGGCUUUCCAUCAUGAAGAUAAACUUGCCCUAACUUCAUAAUUUUGCCUGGGAAGAGCCCUGCUUGUAUUCCUCCAGUCGGUCUCACCAAGCACUACAACUCUUUGCGGGGUGAUACUCCUGGAGAUAGACAGGUACACAGGUCUGAGAUAACAUCCUGUUGUGGAGAAACGAUCCCCAUGGAGUCAGAUCUUCUCUCUACUCACACCAGGGAACCAU